GCCGGGCGCGGUGGCGCGCGCCUGUAGUCCCAGCUACUCGGGAGGCUGAGGUGGGAGGAUCGCUUGAGUCCAGGAGUUCUGGGCUGUAGUGCGCUAUGCUGAUCGGGUGUCCGCACUAAGUUCGGCAUCAAUAUGGUGACCUCCCGGGAGCGGGGGGCCACCAGGUUGCCUAAGGAGGGGUGAACCGGCCCAGGUCGGAAACGGAGCAGGUCAAAACUCCCGUGCUGAUCAAUAUAUUGACUGGACCCUGCUGGACACUGGGUGCCGGGGUACUGAAGUGAACGC
This 285-nucleotide signal recognition particle RNA is filed under the name Marmota monax (woodchuck). RNAcentral's name for it is "Metazoan signal recognition particle RNA". It matches the Rfam family "Metazoan signal recognition particle RNA". From Rfam's summary of the family: The signal recognition particle (SRP) is a universally conserved ribonucleoprotein. It is involved in the co-translational targeting of proteins to membranes. The record is from Rfam by way of RNAcentral. Lineage: Eukaryota; Metazoa; Chordata; Mammalia; Rodentia; Sciuridae.